This 500-nucleotide ribosomal RNA is filed under the name uncultured Glomus. Its description in RNAcentral is "SSU rRNA". It matches the Rfam family "Eukaryotic small subunit ribosomal RNA", at positions 591 to 1092 of the family's 1831-position model. The record is from RNAcentral. Lineage: Eukaryota; Fungi; Glomeromycota; Glomeromycetes; Glomerales; Glomeraceae.
CCAAUAGCGUAUAUUAAAGUUGUUGCAGUUAAAAAGCUCGUAGUUGAAUUUCGGGAUCAAUUAAUUGGUCGUGCCUCUGGUACGUACUGAUUUUAUUGGUUUCUCCCUUCUGACGAAUCAUGAUGUCAUUAAUUUGGUGUCGUGGAGAAUCAGGACUGUUACUUUGAAAAAAUUAGAGUGUUUAAAGCAAGCUCACGCUUGAAUACAUUAGCAUGGAAUAAUGAAAUAGGACGUUUGAUCCUAUUUUGUUGGUUUCUAGGAUCGACGUAAUGAUUAAUAGGGAUAGUUGGGGGCAUUAGUAUUCAAUUGUCAGAGGUGAAAUUCUUGGAUUUAUUGAAGACGAACUACUGCGAAAGCAUUUGCCAAGGAUGUUUUCAUUAAUCAAGAACGAAAGUUAGGGGAUCGAAGACGAUCAGAUACCGUCGUAGUCUUAACCAUAAACUAUGCCGACUAGGGAUCGGAUGAUGUUAAUUUUUUAAUGACUCAUUCGGCGCCUUACG